RNAcentral lists this ribosomal RNA (488 nucleotides) under Shigella sonnei. Its description in RNAcentral is "partial 23S ribosomal RNA". It matches the Rfam family "Bacterial large subunit ribosomal RNA", at positions 430 to 920 of the family's 2925-position model. Lineage: Bacteria; Pseudomonadati; Pseudomonadota; Gammaproteobacteria; Enterobacterales; Enterobacteriaceae. The record is from RNAcentral.
UAUCCUGUCUGAAUAUGGGGGGCCCAUCCUCCAAGGCUAAAUACUCCUGACUGACCGAUAGUGAACCAGUACCGUGAGGGAAAGGCGAAAAGAACCCCGGCGAGGGGAGUGAAAAAGAACCUGAAACCGUGUACGUACAAGCAGUGGGAGCACGCUUAGGCGUGUGACUGCGUACCUUUUGUAUAAUGGGUCAGCGACUUAUAUUCUGUAGCAAGGUUAACCGAAUAGGGGAGCCGAAGGGAAACCGAGUCUUAACUGGGCGUUAAGUUGCAGGGUAUAGACCCGAAACCCGGUGAUCUAGCCAUGGGCAGGUUGAAGGUUGGGUAACACUAACUGGAGGACCGAACCGACUAAUGUUGAAAAAUUAGCGGAUGACUUGUGGCUGGGGGUGAAAGGCCAAUCAAACCGGGAGAUAGCUGGUUCUCCCCGAAAGCUAUUUAGGUAGCGCCUCGUGAAUUCAUCUCCGGGGGUAGAGCACUGUUUCGGCA